Molecule: ribosomal RNA, 488 nt
Filed under: uncultured bacterium
Lineage: Bacteria
Description: partial 16S ribosomal RNA
Rfam family: Bacterial small subunit ribosomal RNA
Source: RNAcentral
GACGAACGCUGGCGGCGUGCUUAACACAUGCGAGUCGAACGGAAAGGCCCUGCUUUUGUGGGGUGCUCGAGUGGCGAACGGGUGAGUAACACGUGAGUAACCUGCCCUUGACUUUGGGAUAACUUCAGGAAACUGGGGCUAAUACCGGAUAGGAGCUCCUGCUGCAUGGUGGGGGUUGGAAAGUUUCGGCGGUUGGGGAUGGACUCGCGGCUUAUCAGCUUGUUGGUGGGGUAGUGGCCUACCAAGGCUUUGACGGGUAGCUGGCCUGAGAGGGUGGACGGCCACACGGGAGCUGGGACACGGACCAGGCGCCUACGGGAGGCAGCAGUGGGGAAUAUGGGACAAUGGGCGCAAGCCUGAUCCAGCGAUCCCGCGUGUGUGAAGAAGGCCUUCGGGUUGUGAAGCCCGUUUGUUGGGAAAGAAAAGCAGCAGGUUAAUACCCCGCGGUUCUGACGGUACCCAAAGAAGAAGCACCGGCUAACUUCGUG